CGCCUUCAGGUCAGGUACGUGGCGACCGCUGAUUUAGCAUAUUAUCCGCGGCAGGGUACCGACCUAUCUAGUAUCGGAAGAGAGCGCCGAACGCACCCGUCGGAAGGCGUCGGACGGCGGUUGGGUGAGGAGCCGGACGGGGGGGGGGGCCCCGGCGGCGCCGGGCCCGGGGGGCUUUCCCGAGUCGGUUGCCUUGGGAAAGCAGAAAGCGGGUGGUAAAAUUAAAGCUAAAAUACCGCACGAGACCGAUAGCCAACAAGUACCGGUAAGGGAAAGUUGAAAGAACUUUGAAGAGAGAGUUCAAGAGGGGCGGUGAAACCGUUAAGAGGUAAACGGGUGGGGUCCGCGCAGUCGGCCCCGGAGGAUUCAACCCGGCGGGCCAAGGUCCGGCCGGCGCGGGCGCCGGUCGGAUCCCGCCUCCGCCUCCCCUCCGUCCCCUCCCUUCGCCGGGGGGGGCGGGCCCAGGGGGGCGGGCGGGCCGGGGACCGCCGCCCGGCCGGCGUCCGGCCCCCGGUCGGGCGCAUUUCCUCCGCGGCGGUGCGCCGCGACCCCGGGCCCCGGGGACGGCUGGGAAGGGCUGCCGGCGGGGCAGGUGGCCCGCGCCCGCGCGAGCGGCCGCCGGGUGUUAUAGCCGCCGGGCCCGGAUCCGUCGCCGAAUCCCGGGGGCCGAGGGAGAAGGACGCCGCCGCCGCGCCCCUCCCCCGGAGGGGGGCGGCCCCGGAGCCCCCCCGCCGCCCGCCGGCCGGCCGCGCCCGCGCGCGCGUCCCGCGCCCCGCCGCGCCGCCGCUCGCUCCUCCUCCCGUCCCGCCCCGGUCCGUCCGGGCGCGGGGGCGGGGGGUCGGUGCCGGCGCGCGGCCGGCGCGGCGCCGCCGUGGGCGCGCGCCUCCAGCCCGGCGCGGGCGAGGCGCGGGGCGCCCGGGACCUUCCCCUCUGUUCGGGCCCCCUCCGUUCCCGCGGGGCGGCCCGUCGGGACGGGCCCGCCGCCCCGCGCCGCUGUCCGACCGGCGGACUGCGCCAUGCGCCCCGACCGCCGGCGCCGCCGGCCGGCUCGGGCCAGCAGGCCCCGGUCCGCGCGGACUCGGCCCCCCCGACCCGUCUUGAAACACGGACCAAGAGUCCUAGCACGCGCGCGAGUCCGGCGGCUCGCGCGGAAAGCCCGCGGCGCAAUGAAGGUGCCGGCGCGCGCCGGCUGGUGGGAUCCGGGCGGCGGAUGCCCGGCCCGUCUCGCCGUCGCGGGAGGUGGAGCAUGCCGCAGGUUGGUGUAUGCCUGGCAGGCGAGCCAGAGGAACUCGGUGGGGUCGAGCGUCCGACUGCAAAUGGUCGUCGAGGUAUAGGGGCGAAAGACUACGCCAUCUGUGCCCUCCGGGUUCCUCAGGUAGUGCGCCGGGCGGCGGUGCAGUUUUACCCGUAAGCGAAUGAUAGGGGCCGAAACGACUCAACUUCUCACUUCAUGUCGCCUCGCUGGGUGGGGGGCGUGAUGCGGCGCUCAGUGGCCACUUUUGGUAAGCAGACUGGCGCUGCGGGAUGACCGAACGCCGGGUUAAGCGCCGAUGCCGACGCUAUCAGAGCCAGAAGAGUUGGUUGAUAGACGGCGGUGGCUGGAAGUCGGACCCGCUAGGGUGUGUACAACUCACCUGCCGAAUCAACAGCCUGAAAAUGGAUGGCGCUGGAGCGUCGGGCCCUACCCGCGUCGCCGGCGGUGCGGGCCGCGGGGCUCGCCGCGACGAGUAGGGGGCCGCUGCGGUGGCCUGGAAGCUGGGGCGCGGCCCGGGUGGAGCCGCCGCAGGUGCAGAUCUUGGUGGUAGUAGCAACUAUUCAAACGAGAGCUUUGAAGGCCGAAGUGGAGCAGGGUUCCAUGUGAACAGCAGUUGAACAUGGGUCAGUCGGUCUAAGCGAUAGGCGAGCGCCGUUCCGAAGGGACGGGCGAGGGCCUCCGUUGCCCUCAGCCGAUCGAAAGGGAUCGGGUUCCAGAUCCCCGAAUCCGGACGGCGGAGACGGGCGCCGCGAGGCCCAGUGCGGUAACGCAGCGAUCCCGGAGAAGCCGCGGGGCCCCGGGAGAGUUCUCUUUUCUUUGUGAAGGGCCGGGCGCCUGGAACGGGUUCGCCCGAGAGAGGGGCCCGCGCCUUGGAAAGCGUCGCGGUUCCGGCGGCGUCCGGUGGAGCUCUCGCUGGCCCGUGAAAAUCCGGGGGAGAGGGUGUAAAUCUCGCGCCGGGCCGUACCCAUAUCCGCAGCAGGUCUCCAAGGUGAACAGCCUCUGGCAUGUUGGACCAAUGUAGGUAAGGGAAGUCGGCAAGCCGGAUCCGUAACUUCGGGAUAAGGAUUGGCUCUAAGGGCUGGGUCGGUCGGGCUGGGGCGCGAAGCGGGGCUGGGCGCCGCGCCGCGGCUGGACGAGGCGCCGCCCGCCCCGCCCCCCUUUCCCCGCUCCCGCUCGCCGGGGCGCCGGGGGGGGGGUCAGCGGGCGGCGCGGCGGCGGCGACUCUGGACGCGCGCCGGGGCCCUUCCCGUGGAUCGCCCAGCUGCGGCGGGCGCCGCUCGCCCCCUCCUUGCCCCUCCGCCCCCCCGCUCCCGGCGCCCCUCCGUCGGCCGUCGUCCCGGCCGCCCCCCCGUCCCGAGCGCCCUCCUCGGCGAGGGCGCGAGGGGCGGCGGCGGCGGCCGCGGGCGCGGCGGCGGGGGGGGGGGCCGCCGGGCGGCGCCGGGCGGGGCGGUCCGGGCGGGGGGGGUCUCCGGGCCGGCGCCCGCCUCGGCCGGCGCCUAGCAGCCGGCUUAGAACUGGUGCGGACCAGGGGAAUCCGACUGUUUAAUUAAAACAAAGCAUCGCGAAGGCCGCGGCGGGUGUUGACGCGAUGUGAUUUCUGCCCAGUGCUCUGAAUGUCAAAGUGAAGAAUUCAAUGAAGCGCGGUAAACGGCGGAGUAACUAUGACUCUCUUAAGGUAGCAAAUGCCUCGUCAUCUAAUUAGUGACGCGCAUGAAUGGAUGAACGAGAUUCCACUGUCCUACCUACUCUCCAGCGAAACCACAGCAAGGGAACGGGCUUGGCGAAUCAGCGGGGAAAGAAGACCCUGUUGAGCUUGACUCUAGUCUGGCGCUGUGAAGAGACAUGAGAGGGAGAUAAGGGGAGGCCCGCGGUCGCGCGACCGCGCGCGGCCGGCCGCCGGUGAAAUACACUACUCUGAUCGUUUUUUCACUUACCGGUGAGGCGGGGGGGCGAGCCCGAGGGCUCUCGCUUCUGGCGCCAAGCGCCCGGCGCGCGCCGGGCGCGACCCGCUCCGGGACAGCGUCAGGUGGGGAGUUUGACUGGGCGGUACACCUGUCAAAGCGUAACGCAGGUGUCCUAAGGCGAGCUCAGGGAGGCCAGAAACCUCCCGUGGAGCAGAAGGCAAAAGCUCGCUUGAUCUUGAUUUUCAGUACGAAUACAGACCGUGAAAGCGGGGGCCUCACGAUCUUCUGACUUUUUGGGUUUUAAGCAGGAGGUGUCAGAAAAGUUACCACAGGGGAUAACUGGCUUGUGGGGCCAGCGUUCUAGCGACGUCGCUUUUGAUCCUUCGUGUCGGCUCUUAUCAUUGUGAGCAGAUUCCAGCGUUGAUUGUUACCACUAAUAGGGAACGUGAGCUGGUUUGACCGUCGUGGACAGGUUAGUUUUACUCUGAUGAUGUGUUGUGCGCUAGUAAUCCUGCUCAGUACGAGGGAACCGCAGGUCAGACAUUUGGUGUAUGUGCUUGGCUGAGGAGCCCUGGAGCGAGGCUACCAUCUGGGGAUUGAUGAACGCCUCUAAGUCAGAAUCCCCCUAAACGUAGCGAUACCGCAGCGCGACUCGGGGGCUCGCGAGCCGUGGGUGCGUCGGUGCGGAGCGCCGCUCGGGUCGGGAGGAGCCGACAGAUUGGCGCCGCCUCCCCCCCCCCGCCGCAUGUUCGUGGGGUCUAAUCAUUCGUAGACGACCUGAUUCUGGGUCGGGGUUCGUACGUAGCAGGAGCAGCUCCCUCGCUGCGAUCUAUUGAGAGUCAGCCCUCGACACAAGCUUUUGU
Gallus gallus (chicken) is the source of this 4022-nucleotide non-coding RNA. NCBI's taxonomy places the organism in Eukaryota, Metazoa, Chordata, Aves, Galliformes, Phasianidae. The record is from Rfam.